GAUGAACGCUGGCGGCGUGCCUAAUACAUGCGAGUCGAGCGAACAGACGAGGAGCUUGCUCCUCUGACGUUAGCGGCGGACGGGUGAGUAACACGUGGAUAACCUACCUAUAAGACUGGGAUAACUUCGGGAAACCGGAGCUAAUACCGGAUAAUAUAUUGAACCGCAUGGUUCAAUAGUGAAAGACGGUUUUGCUGUCACUUAUAGAUGGAUCCGCGCCGCAUUAGCUAGUUGGUAAGGUAACGGCUUACCAAGGCAACGAUGCGUAGCCGACCUGAGAGGGUGAUCGGCCACACUGGAACUGAGCCACGGUCCAGACUCCUACGGGAGGCAGCAGUAGGGAAUCUGCCGCAAUGGGCGAAAGCCUGACGGAGCAACGCCGCGUGAGUGAUGAAGGUCUUCGGAUCGUAAAACUCUGUUAUUAGGGAAGAACAAAUGUGUAAGUAACUAUGCACGUCUUGACGGUACCUAAUCAGAAAGCCACGGCUAACUACGUG
RNAcentral lists this ribosomal RNA (497 nucleotides) under uncultured bacterium. RNAcentral's name for it is "partial 16S ribosomal RNA". It matches the Rfam family "Bacterial small subunit ribosomal RNA", at positions 28 to 507 of the family's 1533-position model. The record is from RNAcentral.